AUAAUGGUGAUUGAUAUGAGCAUGGGACCAAUUGCAUUUGUUUCUAAUUUGUUUGAAUGUGAUUUUGGAUAAAUUUCACUUGCUGUUUUGAUUUUUUCAUCCCCUUUGGACCCUAGGCUUGGCCUAGUGGUCUAGUUUCUCACAUUUGGUUUGGAUUUUCAGGUUAAAAGUGCAAAAGGCUUAAGGAGAAAAAUUCAAGUUGUAAAUUGAGAUUGUUUGAUGUUGUAAACUAA
This 233-nucleotide long non-coding RNA is filed under the name Lathyrus oleraceus (garden pea). RNAcentral's name for it is "Pisum sativum (pea) long non-coding RNA (PSAT_LNC038228)". Lineage: Eukaryota; Viridiplantae; Streptophyta; Magnoliopsida; Fabales; Fabaceae. The record is from RNAcentral.